CGCGGGAUGGAGCAGCCCGGUAGCUCGUCAGGCUCAUAACCUGAAGGUCGGUGGUUCAAAUCCGCCUCCCGCAACCA
Molecule: transfer RNA, 77 nt
Filed under: Verrucomicrobiales bacterium
Lineage: Bacteria; Pseudomonadati; Verrucomicrobiota; Verrucomicrobiia; Verrucomicrobiales
Description: tRNA-Met
Rfam family: tRNA
About the family: Transfer RNA (tRNA) molecules are approximately 80 nucleotides in length. Their secondary structure includes four short double-helical elements and three loops (D, anti-codon, and T loops). Further hydrogen bonds mediate the characteristic L-shaped molecular structure. tRNAs have two regions of fundamental functional importance: the anti-codon, which is responsible for specific mRNA codon recognition, and the 3' end, to which the tRNAs corresponding amino acid is attached (by aminoacyl-tRNA synthetases). tRNAs cope with the degeneracy of the genetic code in two manners: having more than one tRNA (with a specific anti-codon) for a particular amino acid; and 'wobble' base-pairing, i.e. permitting non-standard base-pairing at the 3rd anti-codon position.
Source: RNAcentral